AGCGAGAGGCAGAAGUUGCCUGUGUGGCCGAACAGCUCUGGAGUUUUUCGCUCUUAUCUCGGAUUAGGUUUGGCGAAACUCUUUGCAGUUCCCGCUUCUCGGUAGAGACGUAACAGACAGGCUUUGUAUUGAAUAUGAUCGAAGCAUUUUUGGCUUCGGAUGCAAUGCCGCGUAAGAAAUGGUUACUAAGAGAGCUUCGUUCGCAAUAGAAGCAUUGACAGUGAAAAUGGACAUAGUCAAUGGUGAGUGCUCUGCCACUACCCUAUACCCUAAACCCUAAACACUAAACAAAACCCUAAACCCUAAACGAAACCCUAAACCCUAAACAUUAUGCAGCGUCAAUGGUGGGUGUUCUGCCCCUACCCUCUCUGGCAUCAGCUGACUGAAAAAGAAAAAUUUAAAUCAUCGACGCCCUUGGCCGCAUUAGGACGGGAAUUAAAAGAAAUGGCAGGACGAGAGCAAAGAGAAGGCAAAAGGGUAAAGAUAGUGGAGAAUUUUUAUAACAAAAAAGGUCUAGCAAGGGUUAGAAGAAAACAUGCCAGGGAGAUUAGGCCGUAAAAAAAAGCCUAAAAUAUUCUCCCAAGACAUUUAUUUUACUUGAGUUGUGCUCUCAUGCAUACUUCCCACACUAAUAUUUUUAAUUCUCAAAAUACCUCACUAUAAGAAUAAAUAGGGUUCCUCACUAUAG
This is a long non-coding RNA of Cucurbita moschata (crookneck pumpkin), 688 nucleotides long. RefSeq lists it as uncharacterized. The record is from RefSeq and is a predicted model, not a curated record. NCBI's taxonomy places the organism in Eukaryota, Viridiplantae, Streptophyta, Magnoliopsida, Cucurbitales, Cucurbitaceae. The transcript has 3 exons.